ACUCUAAUAUUAAUCACAAUUCACAUGUGUUGAGGUGGAUUGAGGUGUAAAUUAAACUAAUUUACACCUCAAUCCACCUCAACACAUGUGGAUUGAGGUCAAUACUAGA
Zea mays is the source of this 109-nucleotide non-coding RNA. Lineage: Eukaryota; Viridiplantae; Streptophyta; Magnoliopsida; Poales; Poaceae. The record is from Rfam.